This 255-nucleotide ribosomal RNA is filed under the name uncultured bacterium. Its description in RNAcentral is "partial 16S ribosomal RNA". It matches the Rfam family "Bacterial small subunit ribosomal RNA", at positions 524 to 778 of the family's 1533-position model. The record is from RNAcentral.
UACGGAGGGUGCGAGCGUUGUCCGGAAUCACUGGGCGUAAAGGGCGCGUAGGCGGCGCGGAUAGUCGGCGGUGAAAGCCCGGAGCUCAACUCCGGGUCGGCCGUCGAUACUUCCGGGCUUGAGCACUGUAGAGGCAGAUGGAAUUCCGGGUGUAGCGGUGGAAUGCGUAGAGAUCCGGAAGAACACCGGUGGCGAAGGCGGUCUGCUGGGCAGUUGCUGACGCUGAUGCGCGACAGCGUGGGGAGCAAACGAGGG